CUCUCUCUCUCUCUCUCUCUCAAGCAACGAAGACUUCGAAAAGAAAAAAGUAACGAAGACGGCCACAGGAGUAAGGUUCCAUUGCAAAUACAGGGAAACUUCUCUUACCAAAUAAAUAAAUAAAAAUUUCUUUUGCUGUGUCUAGCGAGUGGCUUCUGCUCUUCCUCUCUGCAAUACACCUUGACCUUGCUUCCUUUCACUACCGACACUUACAUUGUAUAUUCAGUAUCCUCUGUAUAUUCAAUAUCCUUCUAUUGUAUUAUCCCAUUUAUUUCACCAAUUCCCUCUAACAAACAGAGUGAGCUACUACCCAAAAAGUACGGAUAUUGGGAUCUAAACUUCGCUUGUUUGGCUUCUUGUGGACAGUGGAUUGCAUGGUGCGACAUUAUUUUUGUACAAUUGGGCGGUUACCACUGCAGUGCUUUGAAGAUUUGAGUCUCUAUUUUUCAUAAAUAACGAGUCUUUAUUCGGAAUUUGGGGAAUUCAAGAUCUGGGUGGGUUUUGUAUUGAUCGGAAAUGGGUAGCUCUGGGGAGAAGGUUGUGGCUGUGAUUAUGGUCGGUGGACCAACUAAAGGGACUCGAUUCCGGCCAUUGUCAUUGAAUGUCGCCAAGCCUCUUUUUCCUUUAGCUGGACAACCAAUGGUUCACCAUCCAAUAUCUGCUUGCAAAAGGAUUCCGAACCUAGCACAGAUCUAUCUUGUCGGUUUCUAUGAGGAACGGGAAUUUGCAUUGUAUGUUUCAUCAAUCUCGAACGAGCUUAAGGUCCCUGUGAGAUAUCUGAGGGAGGAAAAGCCACAUGGUUCAGCUGGUGGGCUUUAUAACUUCAGAGACCGAAUCAUGGAAGACAGUCCGGUUCUUAUCUUAACCUCUGACUUUAGUAUUUUUAUUUUCCAUUUUGCAUCUUGAUCUCUAAUGAUUUGAAUAUGCGUGAAUUUUACGCUUUCUAGACUCCAGAGAUUAGAACUAGACAUUUUUUUACUUUGAACAUUCGCCAUGAUGCUUGAUUAUCCUUUUGCAGUCUCAUAUAUUCUUGUUGAAUUGUGAUGUUUGCUGCAGUUUUCCACUCCAAGAAAUGCUUGGUAAUCAUCCUCUUCUGUCAACAAAAUAUCCUUUUUCUACAAUUGAUUUGCAUGUAUUGUUUAAUUCUUCUUCAAAAUAUCAUGUACUAUCAAUCUUCAAGGCAAUUAUUUUUGAGGUUGUGAUAGUUUUGUUAUGCUCAUAGUUGAACUUAGAAACAUCUUCUAUGUUGCAAGGUCAAUACUUUUUAGUUUACAUUUGUUUUGCAGAAGUUUUAAUUUCUGUUUUGUUUUAACGUUUGCAGAGGCUCAUAGAAGAUAUGGUGGGAUGGGAACCAUUCUAGUAAUCAAGGUUUCUGCUGAGUCAGCCAGCCAGUUUGGUGAAUUGGUAGCUGAUCCAGACACCAAAGAAUUGUUGCAUUACACAGAGAAACCAGAAACUUUUGUAUGUAAAAGCUUGGAGACUCUUUAGAUAUUUAACACAAUGUCAAACUUUUGGUGUUGCUUAGAAUGGUCCACUUGAUUCAACCUUUUACAUUUGCUUUUUGAGAAAUGAUUUACGGAAUUUUCUUUUCCUUUUUGUUAUAAAAUCAACCAAGACAUUAUAUCACUGUGUUUCGAGUUUCAACAAGUCAUCCUUUUUUCUACAAAUUUUCUGUUAUUUAAAAAGGAAUUAUCUUAACACAUGACUAUUACUUUUGAUUUUCUCUUCUUGGGAAAAAAAAGAAGCAACAAUCUGUAGUAUUUAUAAUAUUUACUCCCAACAGUUCUCCUUAAUUCUUCCCUUUCUUUCUUUAUCUCUUUACUUUUUUCAUGUUAUGUUGCUAUGCAGGUAAGUGACCUGAUAAAUUGCGGUGUGUAUGUGUUUACACCAGAUAUAUUUACAGCCAUCCAGGGUGUUUCUUCUCAAAGGAAAGACAGAGGUUAGAGAUACUGGCUGUGUUCAUAUGACAAUGAUAAGGAAUUAAGUUAGAAAGUUUCCAGAAUCCUGUAGCACACAAGCAUAGAUUGCUCAAUAAUUAAGUGUUGGUUUUAAUGAAUGAGCCUUUGAUUUUUCAUUCUGAAAUAUGCAUCAACUAAGAAUUUCAACAUUCUUCUUGUUGUGUUGAUUAUGUAUAUAUAAUUUAUUGCAUCCCUGCUAACUAUACAUAUUGUUAGAAUCCCUUGGCACAUAAUCUUUUUUCUGUGUAACUAUUUUGCAGCUAAUCUUAGACGUGUUUCCAGCUUUGAAGCACUUCAAUCAGCCACAAGGUAUGCCCAUUCCUGUCCAACUUUUUGUCCUUGUGGAAUUGAUGCCUCUGAGUUGAUUAAUACAUUUUUAGUAUAUAUAAUCUUGAAAAUAUCAACAAAUUUAGGUGCAGCACAUGUGACAUAUUAUGCAUUUUGCCUUUAUUCCUAUAUCUCUAGCAUCAAGUGGGUAGUAAUUGAAGCAACUGAAAUAUAUAUGUGAUUAUCCGAAGUAUCAUUUUUGGGUCCAUUGGAAUCAUACUGUCAAAUAGAGAUUUUUUUUUUUACCAUCUUUUGAUUGUAUCCUUACCAUUAGGGUGUUAUUAGACUGUAAAUCCAACUGGGAUAUAGGUUUUGACCGGGCUAGUAUGAAUUUUAUUGCUUAAUAUAUAAUGCAAAUGUAGUAGUAAAUUUUCCAUUUGGCUUGGAACAGUUCAUAAGCUAAGGCCAUCUCUUGAUGUAGAAAUUCAUCAAAAUCCUUGGGAUUUUUUUAAUUCAAAUUUUUGUUAGGGUCAUUUGAAUAGGUGAACAUUUGAAAUGGCAAUGCAUUUGGAUUUCUAUACAAGCGAAAAUCAAUAAGUAUCAACAUAAUGUCAAAUACAAAUGGAGCCUAACAGUAUUGCUAUUGUUCAAUUUUGGAAUUAAUAGAACUCACUGUUCAACUUCUUGUUCUCAUACAGGAGCCUUCCCACAGAUUUUGUGAGACUGGAUCAAGAUAUCCUGUCACCACUUGCAGGGAAAAAGCAGCUAUAUACAUAUGAAACAAUGGAUUUCUGGGAGCAAAUUAAAACUCCUGGGUAUGCCAAACUAUUUAACAUGGUAAGUUUUAUGUUGUUUUUCCCUUCAGAGCAGUCAUGUGACCUUUUCCCAAAUCAAUACUUGCAGAAUGUCCUUAAAAUGCUCUGCUUUGUAUCUUGCUCAAUUCAAGUACACCUCCCCACGUCUUUUAGCUAGUGGAGAUGGCUCAAAGGGUGCCACAAUUAUUGGUGAUGUUUUUAUUCACCCAUCGGCAAAAGUACAUCCAACUGCUAAGAUUGGUCCCAAUGUCUCAAUAUCUGCUAAUGCCCGAAUAGGACCAGGUGCAAGGCUCAUCAGUUGUAUCAUCCUAGAUGAUGUUGAAGUCAUGGAAAAUGCAGUUGUUAUUCAUGCUAUUGUUGGGUGGAAGUCCUCCAUCGGGAGAUGGUCUCGGGUCCAGGCUGCAGGAGAUUUCAAUGCCAAACUUGGGAUUACAAUCCUUGGUGAAGCUGUUAGCGUUGAAGAUGAAGUCGUGGUGGUUAACAGCAUUGUUCUUCCAAACAAGACGCUCAAUGUUAGUGUUCAGGAGGAAAUAAUCUUGUAGUGGACGUGGAUAUAGAUCCCACAUCUAUUUUCGGCAUCUCUCAAUCUCUCUCUGUGCAGUACUGUAAUGUUUAUUAAUUUACUUUUCUUGAUGUAGAAAGUCAAUAUUUGUGGACUUGUUACCAACUUGUAAACUGACAUCCACAAAUUGUAAUGAGGAAAUUUGAUUGUUUGCUGUCACGCGUCUCUAGUCAAUUAUUGG
Molecule: unclassified non-coding RNA, 3783 nt
Filed under: Hevea brasiliensis (rubber tree)
Lineage: Eukaryota; Viridiplantae; Streptophyta; Magnoliopsida; Malpighiales; Euphorbiaceae
Source: RNAcentral